UACGUAGGGUGCGAGCGUUAAUCGGAAUUACUGGGCGUAAAGCGUGCGCAGGCGGUUCGUUAUGUCCGUUGUGAAAGCCCCGGGCUCAACCUGGGAAUGGCAGUGGAAACUAGGGGACUGGAAUCUGGCAGAGGGGGGUGGAAUGCCGCGUGUAGCAGUGAAAUGCGUAGAGAUGCGGCGGAACACCGAUGGCGAAGGCAGCCCCCUGGACUGAGAUUGACGCUCAGGCACGAAAGCGUGGGGAGCAAACAGG
RNAcentral lists this ribosomal RNA (253 nucleotides) under uncultured bacterium. RNAcentral describes it as "partial 16S ribosomal RNA". It matches the Rfam family "Bacterial small subunit ribosomal RNA", at positions 524 to 776 of the family's 1533-position model. The record is from RNAcentral.